Molecule: long non-coding RNA, 1481 nt
Filed under: Medicago truncatula (barrel medic)
Lineage: Eukaryota; Viridiplantae; Streptophyta; Magnoliopsida; Fabales; Fabaceae
Description: long non-coding RNA (MTRU_LNC000073)
Source: RNAcentral
AAAUAGUUGUCUAUCUCUUUAUGACCAUACACUAUGAGACAAAUAUCUCUUCAAAACCAAUGUCUUUAUUUUCCUUACAUCAUUUGAAUAAUUGAAGCCUUAUAUCCCGAUCUUGAGCUACUCUCUUUAGCUUUGAGUCAUCACACCCAAUUGUUUUUCAAGGCUUGUCUCCCUUUUAGUAGCUCGAUGAGAUUAUAUGUAUGAUUCUUAUGCAAUAUAUUGCAUCUCCUCUUGCAUAGUGUUAAUUCAUUCUUUCAUAUCAUUGUUAGCCGUAGCUUCUACAUGGCUUUGAGGUUCUCUUAUUCUUUAAGUGUUGCAUAUUCAUUGAAAAAUAUUUGGUAGAUGGUUGUCUCUGUCUGGUUUACCAUUGUAGUUGAGGUUAACUAAUAUGAUUUUCCAUAAUACUUUGAUGGUUCCUAUACCAAACUACUCAAUUGUGUUUGAACACAUCAUUGACUUCAGUAUGAUCUCUCUUGACAGAUAGCCCCCCUAAAUCAUCAUGGCGUACCAUAGGGGACGACUUCUGAUUACAACUACUGUUUGACCUUUGACUAAGUUUUCUCAUACUGUUUGGAAUAUUUAGCUGCCUGAUCCUAAAAAAUAUAACAUCUCUACUUCUAAAAAUCUUCUUGUUCACAAGGUCCCAAAUCGCUAAUCAAACUUGUAUCUUUGAGAUCCAAGAUAAAUCGACUUUUUGGUCUCUGCAUCGGACACAAAUUAUUCAUAAAAUGGAGGUACUUUUUAUUUACAAGGCGUUAUCAGUUUUUAUUGUCUUUCAUUUUUCCAUCGGUGUUUGAUUCACCAUGUACAACAUUAGCCUCACCUUUGCAUUAUGCAUAAUCUGUCGAGUAAUGGGCCAAGCAACAAACAAUAGAGAAUGAACAUAGCACCAUAUUCUUAACAAAAUCAAUAUGGCUUUUCUAUAUAUGCAUGUUCUCUUCUAUCAUCUUCAUUUAGCUUAUUUUGAACUAAUGUGUACUUUUUCAUCACUCACACUUGACAGACAGUUAGGCUUCCCCCUAGGUUGAAGUCUGAGUACUAUGCUUUCUCUCCAAAAAUUGGGUCAUUACUUAAUAUCUCUCCCUCUGGGUAAAACGUGUUCGAGUACUCAACUUCAUCACUGGAUACCCAGCAGUUAGUUAACAUUAUUUUGUUAAAUAUUGGAUUUAAGAAUUAAAAUUGAAUAAAGUUCAAAUAUAAUCUUAAAAACAUUGUAUUUUUAACCAUCAAAAACUUAAUUAAGUCAAAAAAAUAAAUUAACAAAAAUUCAUUGAAAAAAUUGUAAUAUUUCUUUACACUAGUAUCAAGUAACAUAUUUAUUCUUUGGAGUUUUCAAUCUGAAUACUGUACAUCCAAGAAAUAUACAGACCUCAUGAAGAGCAGGGGCAUCAUUAGUGCCAUCUCCUGUGACGGCAACAACUUCACCUCCUUUUUUCAGUGCUUGCACGAGCAAAAGCUUGUCAUUUGGAGAUGAUCUUCCC